Molecule: ribosomal RNA, 468 nt
Filed under: uncultured bacterium
Lineage: Bacteria
Description: partial 16S ribosomal RNA
Rfam family: Bacterial small subunit ribosomal RNA
Source: RNAcentral
GACGAACGCUGGCGGCGUGCCUAACACAUGCAAGUCGAACGGCAGGGCCCUGCUUUUGUGGGGUGCUCGAGUGGCGAACGGGUGAGUAACACGUGAGUAUCCUGCCCUUGUCUUUGGGAUAACUUCAGGAAACUGGGGCUAAUAUCGGAUAGGAGCUCCUGCUGCAUGGUGGGCGUUGGAAAGUUUCGGCGGUUGGGGAUGGACUCGCGGCUUAUCAGCUUGCUGGUGGGGUAGUGGCUUACCCAGGGUUUGGCGGGUAGGCGGCAUGGGAGGUGGGCCGGCGUCAAUAGGACUACGAGACGGAGCAGACGCGAACGGGAGGCAGCAGGGGGAAGUAUGACACAGUGAGCGGGAGUCUGAGACGGCGGCGCCCCGUGCGGGAAGACGGCCUUCGGGUUAUGAACCGCUGUCGCCUGUGACGAAGCGUGAGUGACGGUAAUGAAUAAAGAAGCACCGGCUAACUACGUG